This 800-nucleotide ribosomal RNA is filed under the name uncultured bacterium. RNAcentral describes it as "bacterial SSU rRNA". It matches the Rfam family "Bacterial small subunit ribosomal RNA", at positions 8 to 794 of the family's 1533-position model. The record is from RNAcentral.
AGAGUUUGAUCAUGGCUCAGAACGAACGCCGGCGGCGUGGAUAAGACAUGCAAGUCGAACGCGACUUUUUUAGUUAGCAAUAAUUGAGAAAGUUGAGUGGCGAAAGGGUGAGUAACACGUGGGAAUCUACCGAGAAGUGGGGAAUAGCUUGGCGAAAGCCAAAUUAAUACCCCAUGUUGUCGUAAGACUAAAGCGGGGGACCGUAAGGCCUCGCGCUUCUUGAGGAGCCCGCGUCCUAUCAGCUAGUUGGUGAGGUAAAAGCUCACCAAGGCUAUGACGGGUAGCUGGUCUGAGAGGACGGCCAGCCACACUGGAACUGAGACACGGUCCAGACACCUACGGGUGGCAGCAGUCGAGAAUUUUUCACAAUGGGGGAAACCCUGAUGGAGCGACGCCGCGUGGAGGAUGAAGGUCUUCGGAUCGUAAACUCCUGUCACCUCAGAGCAAAAUCACUUACGUUAAUAGCGUGGGUGGUCGAUGGUAUGAGGAGAGGAAGGGACGGCUAACUCUGUGCCAGCAGCCGCGGUAAUACAGAGGUCCCAAGCGUUGUUCGGAUUCACUGGGCGUAAAGGGUGUGUAGGAGGUCUUGAAAGUCGGGUGUGAAAGCCCACCGCUUAACGGUGGAACUGCAUUCGAUACUGCAGGACUAGAGGAUCGGAGGGGCAAGCGGAAUUCAUGGUGUAGCAGUGAAAUGCGUAGAUAUCAUGAGGAACACCGGUGGCGAAGGCGGCUUGCUGGAAGAUUCCUGACUCUGAAACACGAAAGCCAGGGGAGCAAACGGGAUUAGAUACCCCGGUAGU